CCCUUAGAUGUUCUGGGCCGCACGCGCGCUACACUGAUGCAUUCAACAAGCCUAGCCUUGACCGAGAGGUCCGGGUAAUCUUUGAAACUGCAUCGUGAUGGGGCUAGAUUAUUGCAAUUAUUAAUCUUCAACGAGGAAUGCCUAGUAAGCGUGAUUCAUCAAAUCGCGUUGAUUACGUCCCUGCCCUUUGUACACACCGCCCGUCGCUCCUCCCGAUUGAAUGUGUUGGUGAGGAGCUCGGAUUGGCAGCAGUUGGUGGUUCGCCACCGGCUAUUGCUGAGAAGUCCUCCAAACCGCCCCAUUUAGAGGAAGGAGAAGUCGUAACA
RNAcentral lists this ribosomal RNA (326 nucleotides) under uncultured eukaryote. RNAcentral describes it as "partial 18S ribosomal RNA". It matches the Rfam family "Eukaryotic small subunit ribosomal RNA", at positions 1470 to 1796 of the family's 1831-position model. The record is from RNAcentral.